This 813-nucleotide ribosomal RNA is filed under the name Pluteus granulatus. Its description in RNAcentral is "eukaryotic LSU rRNA". It matches the Rfam family "Eukaryotic large subunit ribosomal RNA", at positions 72 to 875 of the family's 3401-position model. The record is from RNAcentral. Lineage: Eukaryota; Fungi; Basidiomycota; Agaricomycetes; Agaricales; Pluteaceae.
GGAUUCCCCUAGUAACUGCGAGUGAAGCGGGAAAAGCUCAAAUUUAAAAUCUGGCGGUCUCCGGCCGUCCGAGUUGUAAACUAGAGAAGUGUUAUCCGUGCUGGACCAUGUAUAAGUCUCCUGGAACGGAGCGUCACAGAGGGUGAGAAUCCCGUCUUUGACAUGGACUGCCAGUGCAUUGUGAUGCGCUCUCAAAGAGUCGAGUUGUUUGGGAAUGCAGCUCAAAAUGGGUGGUAAACUCCAUCUAAAGCUAAAUAUUGGCGAGAGACCGAUAGCGAACAAGUACCGUGAGGGAAAGAUGAAAAGAACUUUGGAAAGAGAGUUAAACAGUACGUGAAAUUGUUGAAAGGGAAACGCUUGAAGUCAGUCGCAUUGGCCGGGAUCAACCUUGCUUUGUGAGGUGUACUCCCUGGUCAAUGGGUCAGCAUCAGUUUUGACUGCCGGAAAAAGGUUAGGGGAAUGUGGCAUCUUCGGAUGUGUUAUAGCCCCUGAUUGUAUACGGUGGUUGGGACUGAGGAACUCAGCACGCCGAAAGGCCGGGUUUAACCACGUUCGUGCUUAGGAUGCUGGCAUAAUGGCUUUAAUCGACCCGUCUUGAAACACGGACCAAGGAGUCUAACAUGCCUGCGAGUGUUUGGGUGGUAAACCCAUGCGCGCAAUGAAAGUGAAAGUUGAGAUCUCUGUCAUGGAGAGCAUCGACGCCCGGACCAGACCUUCUGCGACGGAUCCGCGGUAGAGCAUGUAUGUUGGGACCCGAAAGAUGGUGAACUAUGCCUGAAUAGGGCGAAGCCAGAGGAAACUCUGGUGGAGGCU